UCCACUGAACUGUGUCUCCUGCCUGUUUAACGGCGGGGAGAAGACACUAUAUGGCAGCGUGCUCCUCCCUCUCCCCAGCCAGGCAGCCUCAUCUGUCAACCAUUAGUUAAUCAGGGCGGGUAACGCACAAGGAGCGCAGAAAACUGGCCCAGCGCGUGUGACCCAGAGGACAGCUUCACCUCUGAGAGCAGAGCAGGAGGAGGGCAAGGACCCAGGGGACCGACGGUGUCCUCCACUCUGCACUCCACUGCCAGGCUCACUCUACUCAACACCUUCUCAGGAUUGGCAGGCUGCAGUCGCGGGAUGACUCCGCCCAUUCCAUCCCAGAGGACAGCUUUGUCAGUGUCACUGUGGGGAAAAGAAGAUGUUUGCGGAGCUCAGAGGACUUUACUGCUGCUGUCAAAGCUCUACUCAUGUCCAAAGAUGUUGCCUCAGAAAACAUCUGAAAGCAGCAUCUGGUUUGAUGUCUCCAAAGCCUCCUGGACAAGCCAAAAUCUACAAGAUACAGCAAUCAACUAUUGACCAAUACAACUAAUGAAUUGCAUCAUUUGGUUUGAUUUAACAUCAAAUAAACAAUCCCCAAAGGGCCCACAUGUAACAUUAGCCGCUUGCUCUGGUUUCAAACCUAAGCUAUGACAAGAACCAUGCUUGAAGAACUGGGGCCGAGGGAACCUCGGAGUCUCCAGGUCCUAGCUAGUUCCAGUUGCUAGACUGGCAUAUGGGCUGGAUCAGGAAACACAAGCUCAAUGAUGUCAUGACCAUCUGACCCCAGGGUGACAGGUUUGGGGAAUUUGUCUGCAAGUGGCCUCAGGCCAAAGUCAAGUAUGUCUAUGUUGUGCAUGUGGAUUUCAUUUGAACCAAUGCGAUCUCUCCAACCUAGAUUGCUCUCCUUGGGAACCCUCACUCACAGCAGGAAAUGGUUUUCAUUAGCAACAAAAUAGGCAUAAAUUACUCAAAUGUUUGCCAAUUCAUCACACACUGCAUUAUUGUUGGUUAAUGUUGCUUCACACACAUUUUUUUGCAAACGUUUUUUAAAACAAUCAUCAUUACUUCAAAUGUUUACAUUGUUGCUAAUCUGUUUUGUGUGGAACUUUACUGCUCAUAAACUGUUUGACCACCAAAAUCUGUGCAAUAAAUUUCUAUGAUUUUCA
This is a long non-coding RNA of Oncorhynchus nerka (sockeye salmon), 1151 nucleotides long. RefSeq lists it as uncharacterized. The transcript has 4 exons. The record is from RefSeq and is a predicted model, not a curated record. Lineage: Eukaryota; Metazoa; Chordata; Actinopteri; Salmoniformes; Salmonidae.